Molecule: ribosomal RNA, 474 nt
Filed under: uncultured bacterium
Lineage: Bacteria
Description: partial 16S ribosomal RNA
Rfam family: Bacterial small subunit ribosomal RNA
Source: RNAcentral
GAUGAACGCUAGCGGCAGGCCUAACACAUGCAAGUCGAGGGAGGAGCCUUCGGGCUUCGACCGGCGUACGGGUGCGUAACGCGUAUACAAUCUGCCUUUCACAUAGGGAUAGCCCGAAGAAAUUUGGAUUAAUACCUAAUGGUAUAUAGAUGUGGCAUCACCUUUAUAUUAAAGCUGAGGCGGUGAAAGAUGAGUAUGGGUUCUAUUAGCUAGUUGGAGAGGUAACGGCUCCCCAAGGCGACGAUAGAUAGGGGUUCUGAGAGGGAUAUCCCCCACACUGGUACUGAGAUACAGACCAGACUCCUACGGGAGGCAGCAGUGAGGAGUAUUGGACAAUGGUCGGAAGACUGAUCCAGCCAUGCCGCGUGCAGGAAGACGGCCUUAGGGGUUGUAAACUGCUUUUGCAGGGGAAGAAUAAGGACUACGCGUAGUUUGAUGACGGUACUCUGCGAAUAAGCAUCGGCUAACUCCGUG